Molecule: non-coding RNA, 120 nt
Organism: Podarcis lilfordi (Lilford's wall lizard)
Lineage: Eukaryota; Metazoa; Chordata; Lepidosauria; Squamata; Lacertidae
Source: the annotation of a GenBank genome assembly
GAAAUUAGGGACACUUGGAAGGUCUGCUCUCUCUCUCUCUCUCUCUCUCUCUCUGUGUGUGUGUGUGUGAGAGAGAGAGAGAGAGAGAGAGAGAGAAAUAUUUCACAAUUGGGGGGGAAA